Molecule: unclassified non-coding RNA, 334 nt
Filed under: soil metagenome
Description: partial contains 5.8S ribosomal RNA, internal transcribed spacer 2, and large subunit ribosomal RNA
Rfam family: 5.8S ribosomal RNA (bases 1-120)
Source: RNAcentral
GAUGAAGAACGCAGCGAAAUGCGAUAAGUAAUGCGAAUUGCAGAAUUCAGUGAGUCAUCGAAUCUUUGAACGCACAUUGCGCCCCUUGGCAUUCCGAGGGGCACACCUGUUCGAGCGUCAUUUAAACCUUCAAGCUCAGCUUGGUGUUGGGUGACUGUCCGCUUCACCGCGGACUCGCCUCAAAAUUAUUGGCGGCCGGUACAUUGGCUCUCGAGCGCAGCAGAAACGCGUAACUCGAGGUCCUCGUGCUGGCUCCCAGAAGCUAUCUUCACAAUUUUGACCUCGGAUCAGGUAGGGAUACCCGCUGAACUUAAGCAUAUCAAUAAGCGGAGGA